This 295-nucleotide long non-coding RNA is filed under the name Fragaria vesca (wild strawberry). RNAcentral describes it as "long non-coding RNA (FVES_LNC000631)". Lineage: Eukaryota; Viridiplantae; Streptophyta; Magnoliopsida; Rosales; Rosaceae. The record is from RNAcentral.
ACACCUUAUCACAUUGUCAUGUAACUUCACCAUAAUUCGCUAAAAGUGAAAAAUGCACCAGAAAAAUAAAGAAUUUCAUAUAGCAACUACACUACUAAUAUCUUCUCAAUUUAUAUCCUAGAUCAACGUAACUUAUAAUUUAUGAAGCUGUACAAUCUAAUAGACUUCCAUGCAGACCUUUGCAAUGAUAUAAUCCUGGGAAAAGUGAUUAUUUUCAACAUAAGGAAGCAUCUCAAAGCCAAAGAAAACACAAGCCUCAAAUGCCAACGUGGAGAGAAUUUCAUUCAGAGUCAUC